This 429-nucleotide ribosomal RNA is filed under the name Gemmatimonadota bacterium. RNAcentral describes it as "Gemmatimonadetes bacterium partial 16S ribosomal RNA". It matches the Rfam family "Bacterial small subunit ribosomal RNA", at positions 355 to 776 of the family's 1533-position model. The record is from RNAcentral. Lineage: Bacteria; Pseudomonadati; Gemmatimonadota.
UAGGGAAUCUUCGGCAAUGGACGAAAGUCUGACCGAGCAACGCCGCGUGAGUGAAGAAGGUUUUCGGAUCGUAAAACUCUGUUGUUAGAGAAGAACAAGGACGUUAGUAACUGAACGUCCCCUGACGGUAUCUAACCAGAAAGCCACGGCUAACUACGUGCCAGCAGCCGCGGUAAUACGUAGGUGGCAAGCGUUGUCCGGAUUUAUUGGGCGUAAAGCGAGCGCAGGCGGUUUCUUAAGUCUGAUGUGAAAGCCCCCGGCUCAACCGGGGAGGGGCAUUGGAAACUGGGAGACUUGAGUGCAGAAGAGGAGAGUGGAAUUCCAUGUGUAGCGGUGAAAUGCGUAGAUAUAUGGAGGAACACCAGUGGCGAAGGCGGCUCGCUGGUCUGUAACUGACGCUGAGGCUCGAAAGCGUGGGGAGCAAACAGG